CCUACGGGAGGCAGCAGUGGGGAAUUUUGGACAAUGGGCGCAAGCCUGAUCCAGCCAUGCCGCGUGCGGGAAGAAGGCCUUCGGGUUGUAAACCGCUUUUGUCAGGGAAGAAAAGGUUCUGGAUAAUACCUGGGACUCAUGACGGUACCUGAAGAAUAAGCACCGGCUAACUACGUGCCAGCAGCCGCGGUAAUACGUAGGGUGCAAGCGUUAAUCGGAAUUACUGGGCGUAAAGCGUGCGCAGGCGGUUAUGCAAGACAGAGGUGAAAUCCCCGGGCUCAACCUGGGAACUGCCUUUGUGACUGCAUAGCUAGAGUACGGUAGAGGGGGAUGGAAUUCCGCGUGUAGCAGUGAAAUGCGUAGAUAUGCGGAGGAACACCGAUGGCGAAGGCAAUCCCCUGGACCUGUACUGACGCUCAUGCACGAAAGCGUGGGGAGCAAACAGGAUUAGAUACCCUGGUAGUCCACGCCCUAAACGAUGUCAACUGGUUGUUGGGAGGGUUUCUUCUCAGUAACGAAGCUAACGCGUGAAGUUGACCGCCUGGGGAGUACGGCCGCAAGGUUGAAACUCAAAGAUAGUAGACGUGNGAGAGCGACGACGACGACGAGGAGGAGGAG
This 618-nucleotide ribosomal RNA is filed under the name uncultured bacterium. RNAcentral describes it as "bacterial SSU rRNA". It matches the Rfam family "Bacterial small subunit ribosomal RNA", at positions 338 to 943 of the family's 1533-position model. The record is from RNAcentral.